RNAcentral lists this ribosomal RNA (497 nucleotides) under uncultured bacterium. RNAcentral describes it as "partial 16S ribosomal RNA". It matches the Rfam family "Bacterial small subunit ribosomal RNA", at positions 28 to 507 of the family's 1533-position model. The record is from RNAcentral.
GAUGAACGCUGGCGGCGUGCCUAAUACAUGCAAGUCGAGCGAACAGACGAGGAGCUUGCUCCUCUGACGUUAGCGGCGGACGGGUGAGUAACACGUGGAUAACCUACCUAUAAGACUGGGAUAACUUCGGGAAACCGGAGCUAAUACCGGAUAACAUGUUGAACCGCAUGGUUCAACAGUGAAAGACGGUUUUGCUGUCACUUAUAGAUGGAUCCGCGCCGCAUUAGCUAGUUGGUAAGGUAACGGCCUACCAAGGCAACGAUGCGUAGCCGACCUGAGAGGGUGAUCAGCCACACUGGAACUGAGACACGGUCCAGACUCCUACGGGAGGCAGCAGUAGGGAAUCUUGCGCAAUGGGCGAAAGCCUGACGGAGCAACGCCGCGUGAGUGAAGAAGGUCUUCGGAUCGUAAAACUCUGUUAUUAGGGAAGAACAAAUGUGUAAGUAACUAUGCACGUCUUGACGGUACCUAAUCAGAAAGCCACGGCUAACUACGUG